This 343-nucleotide unclassified non-coding RNA is filed under the name soil metagenome. RNAcentral describes it as "partial contains 5.8S ribosomal RNA, internal transcribed spacer 2, and large subunit ribosomal RNA". The stretch from base 1 to 120 matches the Rfam family "5.8S ribosomal RNA", at positions 35 to 154 of the family's 154-position model. The record is from RNAcentral.
GAUGAAGAACGUAGCGAAAUGCGAUAAGUAAUGUGAAUUGCAGAAUUCAGUGAAUCAUCGAAUCUUUGAACGCUCAUUGCGACCGCUAGUAUUCUGGCGGGCAUGCCUGUCCGAGCGUCAUUUCAACCCUCAAGCCCCCGGGCUUGGUGUUGGGGAUCGGCGAGCCUCCGCGCCCGCCGUCCCCUAAAUCUAGUGGCGGUCUCGCUGUAGCUUCCUCUGCGUAGUAGCACACCUCGCUCUGGGAAACAGCGCGGCCACGCCGUUAAACCCCCAACUUCUGAACGUUUGACCUCGGAUCAGGUAGGAAUACCCGCUGAACUUAAGCAUAUCAAUAAGCGGAGGA